RNAcentral lists this ribosomal RNA (120 nucleotides) under Microcebus murinus (gray mouse lemur). Lineage: Eukaryota; Metazoa; Chordata; Mammalia; Primates; Cheirogaleidae. The record is from RNAcentral.
GUCUAUGGCCAUACCAUCUUUGACGUGCCUGAUCCCGUCUGAUCUUGGGAAGCUAAGCAGGUUCUGGCCUGGUUAGUACUUGGAUGGGAGACCACAUGGGAAUGCUGGGUGCUGUAGGCU